UGUUGCUCCUGACUCAGGGGGUCAGGAGAAUGAAAGAUGCAGAGCAAAAUUGAUCUGUGCCAGACAAAUGAAGAUGAAACAAUGACCUCUGGAAGGAAAUACUGUUCUUUCACGUUUUAUUUUCAACGUCCAAAGCAGAAUUGAACCAAGACCCAUAAAGAAAUAUAUUCCAGUUUUGAUUACGCAGAACUAAGGAGACCAGAGUUAAAUGUAGUGCCAUCUUUGUAUCAACUAUCAUAGUCUUGUCAACAGAUGGCACUUGGUUGUCUGAGUCUAGCCCUGGGUCAUUAUCUUUGUCUUCCUGUCUAGAAUUCAUGUUCCUGUCCAUCUCAUUUAGUUCCAACUGAAGCCUUGAAUGCAGAUCCAGACAUCUUCAUGCAAAGGUAACUUUCCUGCAUGUGUCUACAUUUUAUUCAGAAUUUUGUGGGUUGAUCCUGACAUCUCUUUCAGAAUCUACCCCUUCCUGGUGCCAGCUGGUCUUUAUAAAUGAUGAGGUGUUGGCACCAAAAUGUUUGUAAAACAUUCUUUCUACUUCUCCAUUUUCUGCUUUAUAAGAGUGCAGAACGCUCUGAUUCAGACACAUUGAUUUUUGGAUUUUAUAAAUAUACCCUUCUCUAUGUUAAUUGAUCUGACAGCUAAACACCUUUGCUUUAGCAUUUUAUUUAUAUGGCAUUUUCAUCAGUCUGACAGAUCCUUCUGAUUUUAUAACCUUGUACUGAUAGCAAGUCAUGUUCUGUGACCAGGAAAAAAUCAGACUAACUUCAGCUGCAAAACUAUGGUGAAGAGUAAUGGCAUACAUGAUUAAUGCAAUAACUUCAACCAAACUGGGGUGAGUGCUGAUUGCUAGGCUUAGGAAUUCAAACUUUAUCCCGGAAGAAAAGAAGAUGACAGAGUGAAACCAGGACAGCACAGGAGAGAGAUAAGAAUAAAUCCCCGGCAAUUUAUUCCAUAAAUGUGAUUUUGAGGAAGUCAUUUCUAUUGUUUUAGUGCCCUGUUCUCCAAAAAUUAAAAGUUUAAAUCAGAUUUCUUUCUAAGACCCUUUGCAGAAUCCAGUGACUGUAUUGUACUUUAUCCUGGAUAAGGUUAUACCAUAAUUAUCGAGCUCAUGAUUUCAAUUGGACAGAAAUAAGUCUGGUUAAGCACACAAUGUGUUUGGAAGGAAGGACAGAAGAAAUCUGUUAAAAAGUAGAGAAAAACACAAAACCCAUUGUGUUGAAACCCUUGUUGAUGGCUGGGUCUGAUGUAAUAAUCUCUGCAUCCAAAAGCAUCACCUCUAAUUUGGCUUAACUUCAGGGAAGUUUCUAUAGCAACAACAGUGCAUUACUGUGGGAACAGCGCCUGCUCACAACUUUCUCAGGAAUGAGUCACUGCGAUUGGAGGUCCCACUGGCAAUCUGGCUGAAUCUGAGCAGCACAAAGACUUCCAAAGUCUAACUGAGCUGUUAUCUAUUUUCCACCUUUAGAUGUGGGCUUAAGUGUGCACUCAUUCCAGGGUGACAUGUGAGCGGCCCCAUCACUGAGCUCACACACCAGCUCUCCUUGGCCCCUACACCACUCGGUUUUCAGCCAUGGACACACCACACGUUCCUAGGUGCCGCACCGGAGGGACACCAGGUGCUGACUUGUAUCUCUGGACACAGUUUUUCCCCUGCUGCCCUGUAAGUGCCACCACGCAGGUCUGCCAGUGCCCUGACCGUGUCAGAUGCAUAUAAACAGAUGCUGAUGAUUGAGUCAUAGAUGCUGUCACUGCGACGGCAGCUGAGACUGAACCAGGGACAGGUGUCGAGGACUGAGUCAUAGAUUUUGUUGUUGUUGUUGUUGUCACUACGAUUGAAUCAGACACAGAAGUUUUAUGUGGACGUUAGAUCUAAAGUCAGAACAGGAGUUGAACUGAAUUGAGAUGUGAUCUGUGUGAUGUGGUCUCAUUCUGGUCAUACUCCGCCUCCGUCGGGUGUCGCUGGGCUAUUCCUUUUCUUUGUCACUGCAGGUUUUUGGGUAGUUUUCAGUAUUUAUUAUUAUUA
Molecule: long non-coding RNA, 2020 nt
Organism: Phyllostomus discolor (pale spear-nosed bat)
Lineage: Eukaryota; Metazoa; Chordata; Mammalia; Chiroptera; Phyllostomidae
Exons: 4
Source: RefSeq, a predicted model, not a curated record